AUUUCAUUCGUCAAAUGUUAGUUGUGCCAACCAGAUAGAACCUGAUACUUUAAUUCUUGAAAUUCAGCUAUAACAGAAUUAAUUACAUGACUCCAAGAGGGCAAGGUGGUAUAAACCAACUAGGAGGAGCUUUCGCCAACGGCAAACCCUUGCCCUUCCAUGUACGCCUGAGAAUUUUGGAAUUGGCAUUGUAUGGCUACCGACCAUGCGACAUCUCCCGGCAUUUGUUGGUGUCUCAUGGCUGUGUGUCGAAAAUAUUGACUAGAUUUGCAGAAACAGGUUCUAUACUCCCCGGUGCUAUAGGUGGAAGCAAGCCAAGAGUAUCGACGCCACUGGUUAUCUCAAAGAUUCGACAGUACAAAGACGAGAACGCUUCUUUAUUCGCUUGGGAAAUUCGAGAAAAGUUACUCUACGAAGGCAUAUGCCCACGCGAUUCGUUACCUUCCGUAUCGUCCAUCAACAGAAUUCUGAGAAGAUCUCCAAAAGUGGGGCCCAUCAAGACAGACAUUGCUGUCUCGCCGUCUGGUAUGGAAGACAAGAGAGCAGUAUCGGUGAAAGAAUGUAUAUCUUUAACCUCCAGUGAGAUCCCGUCAUUCAAGAAUGCUUCAGCUGGGAGUGAAAUCCUACCAUCUUUUGAAGACUUAAAAGGAGAAUUGACUUCUCUGAGUGUCUCCCAAGCCCAUGUUUCAGGCACUGAAGUGUCAGAAGAUUCCAGCAAUAAAGAACAUGCUUUGGUAAAGCAUCAAAGUCUUCAAAGGAGAACAUUUUAUAUCAAGGAUAUUUUAGGUUUACGUUUCUCGUAAUGAAAAAACAAAGGUCUUUUUUUUUGUAAGAUUUGCCUGACAGUAAUGCUUGUAGAACUCUUUCAGGUCGUUACUGGUGGAUGUACAGAACGCAUAACAGCAUCAGAUUGGUUAAAAACAGAGACAGUCGCCCAACGUUUAUUAUCUGUAUCAGCGUUUCUCAACCUGCGGUGUGUCCCCCAGCGGUACGGUCUCAAAAUAUAAGUGGAAAAAGGAUGACAUGGUAGACAAGAAUAUUUCAAUAAUUCUUGUAUAAGGAGGCUUCCAUUAUAUAUAUAUACAGGGUAUCCCAAAAAGGUGGAAAAGCAUUUAUUUCUUUUAUUAUUGCAAUUAGACAUAUGCUUCCAGUUGCAAAAUUUUACCAAAUAAGACAUCAAAAUAUAUGAAAAUACUUUGGCAUCGUUAGAGGAAGACUAAUAAAAAGUUUAAAAAAUUUAAUUUUUCUGCAGCUUGCAUAACGAAAAAAGGAUAGCGAGAAAGCCGACCACCCCGCCACCAUUGAAGGAAAGCAGUGUCGACAGGAUUUGUCGUGGCCGACUGCUGUCUUUAUCAUAACCAUCCAAAACACCGACCGAUUCACCGAAAUAAUAUCCUCUUCGAGGUGGUUGGCUCACAAAGUGGUCAAUCUCUGACCUUUCUCCUCGUCUUCCCGUACACCCAUCAUCCUAUAAAACCAGGAGCAGCCACCACUAUAAGAAAAAUCUCAAAAUUCUCGUUCCACAGCUAAAGAAAUCCAAAUACUAAAACUUUCAAAUAGUUGGUAAAAAACAUUUAAUUUUUAACAUUACGUCUAUCAGUGUUUUAUGUUUUUCUGGCAUCAUCAAUAUAAUACUUUUAUUCUAUGAGGGAAGAAUGAAAAUUUAAUUUUUUACUAUCAAAUACACAGGAACCAAAGUGCUUUGAUACAAAUGACCAUCUCAUUUAAU
RNA transcript from Argiope bruennichi, 1729 nucleotides. It is a transcript of the gene named paired box protein Pax-1-like, with no coding region annotated. Lineage: Eukaryota; Metazoa; Arthropoda; Arachnida; Araneae; Araneidae. The transcript has 4 exons. The record is from RefSeq and is a predicted model, not a curated record.